Molecule: ribosomal RNA, 387 nt
Filed under: uncultured bacterium
Lineage: Bacteria
Description: bacterial SSU rRNA
Rfam family: Bacterial small subunit ribosomal RNA
Source: RNAcentral
GACGAACGCUGGCGGCGUGCUUAACACAUGCAAGUCGAGCGGUAAGGCCCUUUCGGGGGUACACGAGCGGCGAACGGGUGAGUAACACGUGGGUGACCUGCCCUUAGCUCUGGGAUAAGCCUGGGAAACUGGGUCUAAUACCGGAUAUGACUCCAUGACGCAUGUUGUGGGGUGGAAAGCCUUGUGCGGCUAGGGAUGGGCCCGCGGCCUAUCAGCUUGGUUGGUGGGGUGAUGGCCUACCAAGGCGACGACGGGUAGCCGGCCUGAGAGGCGACCGGCCACACUGGGACUGAGACACGGCCCAGACUCCUACGGGAGGCAGCAGUGGGGAAUCUUGCGCAAUGGGCGAAAGCCUGACGCAGCGACGCCGCGUGGGGAUGACGGCCU